This 72-nucleotide transfer RNA is filed under the name Camelus bactrianus (Bactrian camel). It matches the Rfam family "tRNA". Rfam says of the family: Transfer RNA (tRNA) molecules are approximately 80 nucleotides in length. Their secondary structure includes four short double-helical elements and three loops (D, anti-codon, and T loops). The record is from Rfam by way of RNAcentral. Lineage: Eukaryota; Metazoa; Chordata; Mammalia; Artiodactyla; Camelidae. RNAcentral also lists the same sequence under 3 other names.
GAGAGUGUAGCUCAGUGGUAGAGUGUGUGCUUAGCAUGCAUGCGUUUCUGGGUUAAAUCCCUAGUACCUCCA